RNAcentral lists this ribosomal RNA (253 nucleotides) under uncultured bacterium. RNAcentral describes it as "partial 16S ribosomal RNA". It matches the Rfam family "Bacterial small subunit ribosomal RNA", at positions 524 to 776 of the family's 1533-position model. The record is from RNAcentral.
UACGAAGGGGGCUAGCGUUGCUCGGAAUCACUGGGCGUAAAGGGCGCGUAGGCGGAUCUUUAAGUCGGGGGUGAAAGCCCAGGGCUCAACCCUGAAACUGCAUUCGAUACUGCGUGGCUAGAGUGCUGGAGGGGAGACUGGAAUUUACGGUGUAGCAGUGAAAUGCGUAGAUAUCGUAAGGAAGACCAGUGGCGAAGGCGGCCAGCUGGGCUGUUGCUGACGCUGAUGCGCGACAGCGUGGGGAGCAAACAGG